RNAcentral lists this ribosomal RNA (1343 nucleotides) under uncultured bacterium. RNAcentral's name for it is "16S ribosomal RNA". It matches the Rfam family "Bacterial small subunit ribosomal RNA", at positions 28 to 1378 of the family's 1533-position model. The record is from RNAcentral.
GACGAACGCUGGCGGCGUGCUUAACACAUGCAAGUCGAACGGAAAGGCCCUGCUUUUGUGGGGUGCUCGAGUGGCGAACGGGUGAGUAACACGUGAGUAACCUGCCCUUGACUUUGGGAUAACUUCAGGAAACUGGGGCUAAUACCGGAUAGGAGCUCCUGCUGCAUGGUGGGGGUUGGAAAGUUUCGGCGGUUGGGGAUGGACUCGCGGCUUAUCAGCUUGUUGGUGGGGUAGUGGCUUACCAAGGCUUUGACGGGUAGCCGGCCUGAGAGGGUGACCGGCCACAUUGGGACUGAGAUACGGCCCAGACUCCUACGGGAGGCAGCAGUGGGGAAUAUUGCACAAUGGGCGGAAGCCUGAUGCAGCAACGCCGCGUGCGGGAUGACGGCCUUCGGGUUGUAAACCGCUUUCGCCUGUGACGAAGCGUGAGUGACGGUAAUGGGUAAAGAAGCACCGGCUAACUACGUGCCAGCAGCCGCGGUGAUACGUAGGGUGCGAGCGUUGUCCGGAUUUAUUGGGCGUAAAGGGCUCGUAGGUGGUUGAUCGCGUCGGAAGUGUAAUCUUGGGGCUUAACCCUGAGCGUGCUUUCGAUACGGGUUGACUUGAGGAAGGUAGGGGAGAAUGGAAUUCCUGGUGGAGCGGUGGAAUGCGCAGAUAUCAGGAGGAACACCAGUGGCGAAGGCGGUUCUCUGGGCCUUUCCUGACGCUGAGGAGCGAAAGCGUGGGGAGCGAACAGGCUUAGAUACCCUGGUAGUCCACGCUGUAAACGGUGGGUACUAGGUGUGGGGUCCAUUCCACGGGUUCCGUGCCGUAGCUAACGCUUUAAGUACCCCGCCUGGGGAGUACGGCCGCAAGGCUAAAACUCAAAGGAAUUGACGGGGCCCCGCACAAGCGGCGGAGCAUGCGGAUUAAUUCGAUGCAACGCGUAGAACCUUACCUGGGUUUGACAUGGAUCGGGAGCGCUCAGAGAUGGGUGUGCCUCUUUUGGGGUCGGUUCACAGGUGGUGCAUGGCUGUCGUCAGCUCGUGUCGUGAGAUGUUGGGUUAAGUCCCGCAACGAGCGCAACCCUUGUUCACUGUUGCCAGCACGUUAUGGUGGGGACUCAGUGGAGACCGCCGGGGUCAACUCGGAGGAAGGUGGGGAUGACGUCAAGUCAUCAUGCCCCUUAUGUCCAGGGCUUCACGCAUGCUACAAUGGCUGGUACAGAGAGUGGCGAGCCUGUGAGGGUGAGCGAAUCUCGGAAAGCCGGUCUCGGUUCGGAUUGGGGUCUGCAACUCGACCUCAUGAAGUCGGAGUCGCUAGUAAUCGCGGAUCAGCAACGCUGCGGUGAAUACGUUCCCGGG